RNAcentral lists this long non-coding RNA (9343 nucleotides) under Glycine max (soybean). Its description in RNAcentral is "long non-coding RNA (GMAX_LNC003628)". Lineage: Eukaryota; Viridiplantae; Streptophyta; Magnoliopsida; Fabales; Fabaceae. The record is from RNAcentral.
UCUGGGUUUGGAAGUUUUGCUUAAGGAGCAGGGAUUCAGGGGCUUUUCCGUGGCUGGGUGCCUACCUGCUUGGUUACAGUGCCCAGGGUGCUUGCAAAUUUGGCUUCUAUGAGUUCUUUAAGAAGUACUAUUCUGAUAUUGCUGGCCCAGAGUAUGCAAGCAAGUACAAGACCUUGAUCUACCUUGCUGGUUCAGCAUCUGCUGAGGUUAUUGCUGAUAUUGCUCUUUGCCCAUUUGAGGCUGUGAAGGUCCGUGUCCAAACUCAGCCAGGUUUUGCAAGGGGUUUGUCUGAUGGGCUCCCAAAAUUUGUCAGAUCCGAAGGAACCUUAGGGUAUGCUUACAAAUGCUGUUAACUCGUACAUUGUUUUUGGUAGAGGAUGUACUGUAAUCAUUCUAUGUUGAUCUAUGCUCGGAUUUAAGAUUAGGUUGUGAUCUUAUUAAGUGUCUUAUGAUUUCAGGCUGUACAAGGGAUUAGUGCCUCUAUGGGGACGACAGAUUCCAUGUAAGUUAGCCAUCCAUAUAGUUUGUAGUUUGCAUUAUACUUUUUAGUGCCCUCUUACUGAAUUGGAUGUGUUUGUGCAUUGUUCGGUAUCUCUUGGGUUACCAGAAUAGAUGGUGUUUUAGUUUGUACUCCAACUUUAAGAUUUAUCAGGUUACUAAAUUCUCAUGUCCUGAUUGUUGAGCCAUUGUGGCACUUCCCUGUUGCAUUACAGUUUUUGUUGGGAAUUAGUUGUCAUUUAUUGUAGAUUUUGGAUGCAUAUGCCUAUACAACUCUGAUUAUUCACACUAUAUUAUGAUAUUGAUAAUGUAUUAUUGGUUCUCAGCAUUUCCAUAUUGCAAAGUAUGGUUGGUUUGUGAAUUGUAUGCUUUUCAUAGCUUUUUUUUAAUCUUGUUUAUGCCGCCUUCAUCAUUAUAUGGAAUUAUUAUUUUUGUUCUGUGCUCUUACUCAGUUUAAAAAUUGAAACUUUUUGUCUGUUGAGAAAUGAUGCUAUUUGUCAUUGUGAAUAUUGGUGGUGAAAUUUGAUGUUUUUUGUUGUAUUAGUUUGAGGUCUGUUUCAUUUGCAUCUUAUAACUUGAUAUAUAAAAGGUCCUGAUACCUGAUAAUAUGACCUGUAUAACAUAAAAAUGUUCUUUCUUGCAGACACAAUGAUGAAGUUUGCUUCGUUUGAGACCAUUGUAGAGCUGAUCUAUAAGCACGCCAUCCCAACACCAAAGAAUGAGUGCACCAAAGGCCUGCAACUUGGUGUCAGUUUUGCUGGUGGAUAUAUUGCUGGUGUACUUUGUGCAAUUGUGUCUCAUCCUGCUGAUAAUCUUGUCUCUUUUCUGAACAAUGCAAAAGGAGCAACAGUUGGUGAUGUGAGUGUCAUACUUGGUGCAUGUUUAGUAUAAUUGUUUCAUAUUGCAUCUGUUUUUGACGAGCUUCUUUGAUUUUAUAUACUGUAUAAUGCAGGCGGUGAAGAAGCUUGGCCUGUGGGGUCUCUUUACCCGUGGUCUUCCCCUCCGUAUUGUUAUGAUUGGAACUCUUACUGGAGCCCAAUGGGGAAUAUAUGAUGCAUUCAAAGUGUCUGUCGGAUUGUAAGUUUACACAAUUGCUAGUUUUAUGAUAGGGUUCCAUACUUUCAUAUAUAUUGUUUUCCUUCAGUAUUGACGUUCUAAUGAAAUAAAUUUCCCCUUCCCAGGCCAACCACUGGUGGUCCUGCUCCUGCAGCUGCUCUAGCUUCUGAUGCUGAGCUUGCAAAGGCAUAGAAUGUCCAAUGAUGACACAUUCAACAGUUUGUUUACGAAACUUAGAAAGCCAGUGAAUAGGGACACCAUAAAUAAACAGGAGGAUUGCAGAAGUUGCUUGAGUGGAACUCGAGCUUGGUUGGAUAAUAUAUUCUUUUAAAGUUCAGACAUCGUGUUUCCAUUUUUCUUAAAUUUGAGUAUUUUGAAUUUUUAGGAGGAUGGUUUUGCUCGCAUCCUCCUCUUGCUGAAAACUUUGUAGGUAGGAAUGAUAUAAUUUUGCAUGCUAGGUUCUCUACAUGCCAUUGUCAAACGGGAAUACUCAUUUGUUUUCUUGUCUGUGCAUAAGCACAGACGCAUUUGCAAAUGUCUAGAUUGAGAUAAUUUUUACUCCCUUUAUUUGAUUAUUUCUUUUGGAAAAUGUUCCUUUUUUGUUGUAUUGCAAUCAUCAGCUCUCUUAAACGACUGUUAUCAUGAGUCAACUACUAGCUAUUUAAUCCCUUUUUUGUUGUGAUUAGUUCCGGGGAAAAUGCAAAAUUGAUGGGAAUCCAGUCACCUAUCGCGAUCGAUAUGUUGGACUUCUCGUUAUGGGUCUUAAUGACUCAGGCUUCACCAAAUCAAGAUAAAAAAUUUGUGUUCAAUUCAAGCUCCCAAAUUAUAGUCCAAAAUCCUUAAAUUAUAUCGAGCAUGGUCAGGUUAGCCUUGUCUGUUGAAUUGGUUUUGCCAUGACCUUUGUAUGCAAACCAGCACAUGAUGGUAGGGAAAAUGAAAGUGACUAUUACAUCGGAGUAGAGGAAGAAGAUAGGUUUGUGAGUAAAGAGUAAGAGUGAAAUGUGACAAGUCUCAUGAACUUUUAAAUAUUUUGUUAAGGAUCAAUAAUUGAUGGGUCAGAAAUACAUUUUAUUUUUGGGUAUAAUUUGUGUGAUUCUUCUCCCAUCGGGUUGGUUCAUUUUUUAGGUAAGGUGAUAUUUUGAGUUGUCACUCUAUGCUCAAGUCGGGGAUCGAACACCAAACCUUGAAUAAGGAAUCCAAAUAUCAAAUUACUUGUGUUAACAACUUUUGGUUAUGGACAUACAUUCUAAUUGACCUUAUUGGUGUUUAUGUGAUUUAAUGUCAUCUUAAUAUACUUAAAAUUAUCAAUUUAUUGUCAAAUUGAUUCUUAUUGAUGUCUUCUUAAAUGGACAAUCACAUGACAAAUAAUGUGACACAUUCAAUAUUUCUUAAUGAUGUUAAUGGAUGGUUAACUAUAUCAACAAACUUGACUAAUACAAUUUCAUUUCGCAAUAAAAAAAUCAUUGUUUAUUCUUUUGAAAAUUGAGUUAAAGGAGAAAAAAUUAUUUUGCAAAUGAACCUUCUAUUAGUCUUUCAUUAAUUUUCUUUUGUUAAGUAAAUUUUUUGUUUCCUAUUUAAUCUUUUUAAAUAUCAUGACCUUUUCAUUUAAUCAUUUUAAAUAUAAGUGGUCUUUCAUAGGGCUGACAAUAAACUGAAAGAGAAUAAAUUACAGCACAUAUUAAUUUAAAUGUUACAUAUUUUUAGAAAUUGAAAACUUAUUUAGGUUUCUUUUUCUGUUAUUAAAAAAUGAAACUAAGGUACAGGAAACAUUACACCAAUAGGCAAGAACUUAGGCAGAGAGAGUCUGUCCCAAAAAUUAGCACAAAAAAAAUGAUUAAUUAGUUUCACAAAACAUUUUAAUUAGUUUCUUUUUUUUAUUAGUUGAACAAUUCAUUUGAUUAUUUGACAAAUAAGUUUUUUAAUAACUUCUAACAUUUUUUAAAUAUUAUUUGAAAUAAUAUUUUUUAAAACACUAUCUUCUAUUUUUUUAUAUUUUCUUUUUUUUUUAUCUUUGAUAUAUUUAUUCAUUUUCUUGUCUUUUUAAUAAAUCAUAAUUUUAUUAGUUUUCUGUUAUUUUACACUUUUUAACUACUUCAAUAGCAAAUUUUACCGAAUACUUUUAAUUUGAUAAGUUAUUUUUUAGGUUUCUAACUAUCAGCUUUAAUUUGAUAAGUUAUUUUUUAAGUUUCUAACUAGCAGCUUUAGCAUCCAACCACCGUCUAGCUUUUCCUGAAAAACUGGCUGGUGGCGGGAAGGUGAAAAUUUAAUUUAUUAAAUUAUUAGUGUUUUAUAGAAUUAACUGUCGCAAUAACUGGAAAAUAUAAAAUGAUAUAAAAGUAAUAAAAUCAUGAUUUAUUUUUUAAAAAAUAAUAAUUUUUUUAUAAAAUAUAUUAAGAAUAAAAGUAAAAAAAAAAUAUAAAAAACUAAAGGAUAAAGUUAACGUUUUAAAAAUUAUUAUUUCAAGUAAAAUAUUAAAAAGUGUUAGAAGCUACUAAAAAAGUUUAUGUACUAAAUAAUUAAACAAAUUUUUUAACUAGUAAAAAAAAUUAAAAAUAAAUUAAAAUGUCUUCUUCAACAUAAUCCAACUUUGCAUAUAGCAGCCGACAAACGUUAAACACAUUCUUUUUCAAAUUCGAACGCAUUCUAUAGGAGAGUUCUAUAGUUUUCAAUUUACUAUUUUAACCAAAUAUGUCCAUUAUAACUCAUAAAUAUGUAAGGCUGACUUUCUGGAAACCACUCCAAUAAUCUCGUUUCUUUAAUAUAUACGUAUUUUGUAAUAAGUUUAAUAUUGACAGUGCAACUGUAUAUAGUUUGCAACAGAAUAAAAAAAAAUAGAGGAAUCUGGGGUCAUAAUUAGUUGUACCCUAUAACCAAUGGAAUUGAAACAAUAGUGUAAGAUCUUGAUUGGUUUACAUGUGAAAAAUAAUCUAUUUAACUGGAUAACAGGUUAAAAAUAUCUAUAGUUUGAAAAUAUAAGGUGUGUAUAAAAUAAAAUAAAAACAAAAACUAAUAAAACAAGUAAAAUUCUAAAAAUGAAAAUAAAUUAAAAACAAUUGGUUAAGACCUAAUUAAGUUUUUGCUCUAUCAAACUAUUCAUAAUUUCCUUAUUUAAUUCUUCAUUUUUAUUUUUUAAAAUUAAUAAAAUAUCAUUUUAUUUCUUAAAAUUGUGGAAAGGUUAUUAGUCAUCCACAAACAAAUUCUGUUAAAAAAAUAUGUGAUGUGACAUGUUAUCUAUUAUGUAUACAUACAUAGCAUAAAUAGAAAUCAAAUUCACACUAAAUUGAUAAUUUAGUGAAAUAAGAAGAUUAAACUAAAAAGCACAAAUCAAGUCAGUUAGGACAAGAAACCAUCAAUGAUUGGUCUUUUAUCAACAAAACAUUAAAAAAAAAAUAUGAGAGCCUUCAGGUCUUCACGUCUCACCCCUCACUCCCUUAAUCAUAAUCCUAUUUGCUUCCCCUUUGCUCCGUCGCAACAAUCACCCUCACUCUUAAGUCAUGAACUCACGACAACGACUACAUAUGACGAAAAGGCUAACAAUUGUUGUGAUAGUUUUAUUUCCCUCUUUUUUUUUUUUGUUCAUUUUUUACUUUCUACCAAAUUUCAAGGAUAACAAUAUUCGUGAAAAAAAAUUAUUAACAUAUUUAUUUUAGUAUAAUAAAUUAAAGAUAGAUAAUUAUUUUGUUUUAUUAUCACAUUUAGAAGAAAAAAAUUGAAAUGUGAUGCUAUGAUAGUCAUUGUAAUUGUUUUUAAUAUGAAAAACGCUUAUAUAUCCUAAAGUAAUCUCAGAUAUCAUUUUGUAAAAAUUAUAACGAGGGUACUUGUAUAUUUAAUGGUUUAUAUGACUUUGUAAAUGUUGCACAGGUCUUCUAUUAUUUUAAAUGAGAAAAAUGGUUAUAUAAUAGUUAUCUAAAAUUAUUUUAAUCAUAAUUUAUUAUUUAUGAAUUUUUAACCAUAAUAUUAAUAUGAAAUAACUAGUGACUUUAUCGAUGACUCGUUUUUCUCAAAUAAUUUGACUAGCUAUCUUUAGUGAUUUUUCUCUCUCAAUCACAUUUUUUUUAUUCACAAAAUUUAAACUCAGAAUCUUACUUAAAGGAAUUGAGUUCAACAUCACUUAAACCAACGACUUGUUGGUCCCACUAUUUAUAAUAAGUUUGAUAAUUUUUACAGAAUUACCUUAAAAGUCAUAUAAUUAAUGAUCUCUGAUGAAUAAAACUAAUUUAUCACCAUUUAACAAUACACAUAACUCAAUCAUUUAAAAUGCAAGUUGGAAACAUGUAUUGCAAUUCUGUAAGUAACUUAUGUCAAAAUCAUGUCUAAUGAAUUAAAGUUUCAAAGGCAUCCUAACAUAUUAAAUAUAUGUAGAUAAAAAAAGAUAAAAUACAAUUUAGAAACUUAUAUUAUAACUUUGUACGUAGCAUUUUCCAAAAUAAAAUAUCAAAUCUUAUGUCAAAAAAUAAAGAGUUAGUUUCUUUUUAUGGAAACACACUUAUGUCAUUUCAUUAAUAAUAAGCGCAGAAAUACAUGAGGGAACAAUGUUAAAAACUUGAGAGCUAGCAUGAAAAGUUGACCCAUUGUUAAGGAAUAAGCGACAAAAUUUGUUUGUCUCUUGACCAAACCCACCAUUGAGUUUGAAAAACUGGAAAAUAAAGUGUGAGUUUACUCUCCUAAAAUUCUUAGUCUCAUUUUCGCUCAACAAAAUUAUAAAUAAGAAAUUUGAUUAUGACUCAGUCUUCACCAAAUCUAGCUAGCCUUGGCUGAACCUGAUUAUGACUCAGGCUUCACCAAAUCAAGAUAACAAAUUUGUGUUCAAUUCAAGCUCAAAAAUUAUAAUCCAAAAUCCUUAAAUUAUAUCGAGCAUGGUCAGGUUAGCCUGGUCAGUUGAAUUGGUUUUGCCAUGACCUUUGUAUGCAAACCAGCACAUGAUGGUAGGAAAAAUGAAAGUGACUAUUACAUCGGAGUAGAGGAAGAAGAUAGGUUUGUGAGUAAAGAGUGAGGGUGAAAGGUGACAAUUCUCGUGAACUUUUAAAUAUUUUGUUAAGGAUCAAUAAUUGAUGGGUCAGACAUACAUUUUAUUUUUGGGUAUAAUUUGUGUGAUUCCUCUCCCAUCGGGUCGGUUCAUUUUUUAGGUAAGGUGAUAUUUUGAGUUGUCACUCCAUGCUCAAGUCGGAGAUCGAACACCAAACCUUGAAUAAGGAAUCCAAAUGUCAAAUUACUUGUGCUAACAACUUUUGGUUAUGGACAUACAUUCUAAUUGAUCUUAUUGGUGUUUAUGUGAUUUAAUGUCAUCUUAAUAUACUUGAAAUUAUCAAUUUAUUGUCAAAUUGAUUCUUAUUGAUGUCUUCUUAAAUGGACAAUCACAUGAUAAAUAAUGUGACACAUUCAACAUUUCUUAAUGAUGUUAAUGGAUGGUUAACUAUAUCAACAAACUUGACUAAUAAAAUUUCAUAGGGCUGACAAUAAACUGAAAGAGAAUAAAUUACAGCACAUAUUAAUUUAAAUGUUACAUAUUUUUAGAAAUUGAAAACUUAUUUAGGUUUCUUUUUCUGUUAUUAAAAAAUGAAACUAAGGUGCAAAAACAUUACACCAAUAGGCAAGAACUUAGGCAGAGAGAGUCUGUCCCAAAAAUUAGCACAAAAAAAUGAUUAAUUAGUUUCACAAAACAUUUUAAUUAGUUUCUUUUUUUUAUAAUUAGUUUCUUUUUUUUAUUAGUUGAACAAUUCAUUUGAUUAUUUGACAAAUAAGUUUUUUAAUAACUUCUAACAUUUUUUAAAUAUUAUUUGAAAUAAUAUUUUUUAAAACGUUAUCUUCUAUCUUUUUAUAUUUUCUUCUUUUUUUAUCUUUGAUAUAUUUAUUCAUUUUCUUAUUUUUUUUAAUAAAUCAUAAUUUUAUUAUGUUUAUGUCAUUUUACACUUUUCAACUACUUCAAUAGUAAGUUUUACCUAAUACUUUGUUAUUUUUUAAUUUUCUAACUAUCAGCUUUAACAUCCAGCUACCUCUUUCUUUCCUGAAAAGCUGGCGGGUGGCUGGAAGCUGGAAAUCUAAUUUAUUAAAUUAUUAGUGUUUUGUAGAAUUAACUAUUGUAAUAAUUGAAAAAUAUAAAAUGAUAUAAAAAUAAUAAAAUCAUGAUUUAUUUUUUUAAAAAAAAUAAUAAAUUUUUAUAAAAUAUAUUAAGAAUAAAAGUAGAAAAAAUAUAAAAAAAACUAAAGGAUAAAGUUAUCAUUUUAAAAAAUAUUAUUUCAAGUAGAAUAUUAAAAAGUGUUAGAAGCUACUAAAAAAGUUUGUAUACUAAAUGAUUAAACAAAUUUUUUAACUAGUAAAAAAAAUUAAAAAUAAAUUGAAAUGUCUUCUUGAACAUAAUCCAACUUUAUAAAAUUAUUUGAAAAAUAUUACAAUGAUGCCGAUUAUAUAUUAUGUUAACUCUUUAUAAUUGUUUAAAAAAAUUUACUUCAUAUUUUUCAAUAAAAGAGGUUGCUUGAAACAUUUUUUUAUGAACAGCAUCUAUCUAUAUGUAAAGGAAAUUUGAAAUAUUCAUGGUGGUUAAUUGAAAUUUUAAAUUAACUUUCAUCCUUCGACCUCUCUCUCGAUCUUUAUUUAUACAUUUUUAUAAUUCUGUAUGGUUAAUUUAUAGUUAAAAAUCACGAGACAUGUGUUCUAAUAAAAGUUCAAAGGAUAAAAACAAUAAUUCUGAUCCUUUGAUAAAAAUAACUUUUGGCUCAAAAGGAGAACCAAACAUACACAAAUUAAACAAGUAGUUGUUGAGUCGCGACCAGCGAGCUGAUUUCCAUUCCCCCUAACUAUCUAGUGUCAAGAUGGUAAAUCAGAAAAGUUAGCGCCAAUAUAAAGUACCACGCAACGUGCAGCCAAUGGCGCACAAAAGAGAGAGACCCUUUCCUUCUCUCUCGCCGCUGCAUUUUCUCCGCAACACAAUUGGCACCAUAUAGAAAUUGAGUUCUGUUAUAUCUCCCAAAGGAUUACAAGAGUAUAUAUAUAUAUAUAUAGCAAAAGUAAAAACCGUAUGAAAAACUGAAUCCUAAAAGUAUGGCACGUGUGCAACUGCAUGUACCACGUCUACAACUAUUCAAAAGAUAAAACUGCAUCUGGUUGUUACACCACCAAUAUAAAGUACCAUGCAACGUGCAGCCAAUUGCCUCCUUUUUCUUUCUCCGUGCCCUAAUGGCUCUCCCCGACUCUUCUUCCCGCCGCAACUCCCUGAUCCCCUCUUUCAUCUACUCCUCUUCCUCCAAAACGCUCCCUCUACACCACAUGCUCAACUCCGCCUCCGCCGCCGCCCCCUCCCCGCCGCCGGAAAACCUCCACGCCGGAUCGCGCGGCCUCGUGAUUCCCUCUCCCAGCGAGUCACGCAAGAUCAAGAUUCCCAAGAUGUACUCCCUCGAGUUCUACGCCGCCUGCGCCAAAGGUGGAAUCCUCAGCUGUGGCCUCACUCACUUGGCCUUCACUCCUCUUGAAAUAGUCAGGUGUAAUAUGCAGGUUCUCUCUCUCUCUCUCUCUCUCUCUCUCUCUCUAUAUAUAUAUAUAUAUAUAUAUAUAUAUAUAUAUAUCGAUCUGUCUUAUUGUGCUUAGAUUUAGGGGCUUAAGGAGCAGGGAUUCAGGGCCUUUUUCCGUGGCUGGGUGCCUACCUUGCUUGGUUACAGUGCCCAGGGUGCUUGCAAAUUUGGCUUCUAUGAGUUCUUUAAGAAGUACUAUUCUGAUAUUGCUGGCCCAGAGUAUGCAAGCAAGUACAAGACCUUGAUCUACCUUGCUGGUUCAGCAUCUGCUGAGGUUAUUGCUG